Molecule: long non-coding RNA, 116 nt
Organism: Coccinella septempunctata (seven-spotted ladybird)
Lineage: Eukaryota; Metazoa; Arthropoda; Insecta; Coleoptera; Coccinellidae
Exons: 2
Source: RefSeq, a predicted model, not a curated record
AUUUGACUGCAUCUGAAAUUACGAGUAUGCGUUUUGUUACAGCUGGACAGAUAAGGGACACUUGCAGUGGUCAAAACAGAAACCAAAAUGUUAGUGCUUUGUUACUCUAUUCAGUU